This 1618-nucleotide long non-coding RNA is filed under the name Panax ginseng (ginseng). RNAcentral's name for it is "long non-coding RNA (PGIN_LNC011003)". Lineage: Eukaryota; Viridiplantae; Streptophyta; Magnoliopsida; Apiales; Araliaceae. The record is from RNAcentral.
GUGAGGUGAGCCAAUCAAUUAUCAAAAACACAUUCUCCUUAUAAUUUAAAGUUUAAACCGAACCCCAAGGAGGUUUAUGUAAUUUUCUCUUAAAUUAUACUACACUACUACCAUUACCAAGUAGGAAGGAGUACAACAAGAAAAAAGGGUAAGCAAAAUACAGUGAAAUCUGAGUCUGGACUUUCGGAUCGCCCGUAAGAAAGAAGGAAGGAGACACCCAUCGUCGCAACUUUCAGUUAAAUUAGCUGGCCGUGUCAAGUCCAUAACCGGUACCCUUUCCCUUAAUCUUCUUAUUCAUAUUAUUGUACUACAGGACUUUUUCUUUUGUUCCAAGAAAUGUUGUGAUUCCUCUUGUCAAUUCUCUUAAUUAUGCUGCUAGGUUUUACGAGGGUUAUAUGUACAGCUAUACUGAAGCCACUUGUUCUCAACUUUUAUGAAUUGUACAGAAUUGAUGGAAGCAGGUAGCUUAGUGAAGAAGCGCGGUCUAAAUGUUCAUUUUAAGUUACUUAAUCUUUAGUGUAUUAUGUAUACUGUCCUUUGAAUCUAUUGUAGCUGACUAUCUGGUUUUAUUAGUAUUUGUAGGGGAUUUUAUUGCUCCUAUUCUCUGGAAUUAAAAUUUGGGAUUACCAAAAAACAAAUAUCACACCGGAAUUACAUUCACUGUUAGUUCUGAGGUAUCUUCUCAAGUUAUUUGACCACGGGUGUGGAAUGUAUAGGCCAGAGGAGAAAUAUAAGGAUGCUUUAAUUAUAUUUUCAUGCAUUGUACUAGAAGAAAUUCUGUUUUUUUCACUGUUGAACUUGACUACUUAAUUGGUCAUAAUCCGGCCUUGUUUCGGAACGUUAGAAUGUUGUAUAUGAAUUCCUACUGAUCUACUGAUUCACACCUUUGAUCCUUUAAAAUGGUUGCUUGAAAUAUAAAUGUAGUUGUAUUGCUGCAUACGAAGUAGAAAUAUCUUUUGUAUCAAAGAAUGUGUUUUACUGUGGGACCUCACGUUUCUUGUCAAUGCCACGUAUAAAUGUAUAUGGUUUUUGAUGAGUAUGAAAUAUGUUAUAUUUUUAUUUCUUAAUAUUUAAUUUUUUGUAUUUAUUUUGUGUCUAAAUAAACUCAUUAUUCUUAUAUUUUUAUUUCAUACAGCAACUUGCAAUCCUUUUAUUCACGUGGGCAACUCAUGAGUUCUAAUUCUAAUUGGAGGAGGAUUUACUAAGUCACAGGAAAUUCAGAAGCUUCACGCAACUAGGAAAUUAAUCACGCGGAAAUUGAAGAAAUUCGAACGCGGCUUGGAAAGAUUUUACACGGCAUAUUGUGGAAUUUAUUUCCAAUUUUAAAUCUGAUUUUUGGAUUCUAGAAAAUUAAUUUUUACAAUUCUAUUAUAAUUAGAAUUUCUUUUAGACUAAAAUUUAUUUCUAAAUUGAAUUCUAUUUCUUUAUGGAAAUUAGUGUAAUUUAUAAUUCUUUUAGGAUUGGGAUUUCUAUUUCCUAUAGGAUUUAGGACUUUGUCUAGCACUAUAAAUAGAGGAUGAGAGUCAAGGUUUUAUUCAUUCAACAUUCAACUAUCCUCUAUUGGAGUGAAGGCUCAAGAGCAUGUCAGGCUAGUUCUUUUCAUUCAGUUCUAAAGGGG